RNAcentral lists this ribosomal RNA (1301 nucleotides) under Poecilimon varicornis. RNAcentral's name for it is "16S ribosomal RNA". The stretch from base 874 to 1229 matches the Rfam family "Bacterial large subunit ribosomal RNA", at positions 2077 to 2643 of the family's 2925-position model. The record is from RNAcentral. Lineage: Eukaryota; Metazoa; Arthropoda; Insecta; Orthoptera; Tettigoniidae.
AUGAUAUUAUGAUAUUGUUUAAGUAGGAUUUGUUAAUUAAAGUAAUUUUUAAGUGGGAUUUUUAGUAUAGUUUAUGGAACUUAUAGGAUGGGUAAUAGAGUAGUAGUACUGUGGAGGAAUUAUGAAAUAGAUGAAAGAGUUAUUGGAAUAGAAGAAGAAUAUAAUUUGUACCUUGGGUAUCAGGGUUUAUUAAUUAAUAAUAAUGAUUUUUAUGGCUCCCGAAUUGAGAAGGGUUAAAGUAGUAUGAUAAUUAAUGUGAUAUUAUUAUUGGUAAUGCUACUUUAGGAAUGAAAUGUUAAACGUUUCUUAAGUUAUCUGGUUUUUCAAGAAAUGAAUUUAAUUCAUGUUAUUAAGAGUAAAGAUUUAAUUUUUCGUUAAUGAUUUAUUUUUGAUAUCAAAUAUGUGAAGGGAUAAGCUUUUAUGUAAAUAUUAUAAAUUAUGGAAUAUUUUUAAAGAGUAGUAGGCUUUAAAUUAGCUAUCAAUGGGAUAAUGUUAUAAAUUGUUUUGUAGGUUAGUUAUUUUUUAAUGUUUUUAAUUUGUUUAUUGAAAUGUUGUAUUAAAUAGGUUAAUAUAAGUAAUAAUGAUAAAAUGAGUAUAUAAAAUGUUUCCUAAGUUUUAUGGGAGAAUUAUAGUAAGGAACUAGGCCAAUUAUCCCCCGCCCGUUUAUCAAAAACAUCUCCUUUUGUUUUUAUUUAAGGUAGGGCCUGCCCACUGAAAAUUAUUUGAAGGGCCGCGGUAUUAUGACCGUGCAAAGGUAGCAUAAUCAUUAGUCUUUUAAUUGAAGGCUGGUAUGAAUGGUUUGACGAGGUGAUAACUGUCUCAUUAUAAUAUAUAGAAGUUAACUUUUGAGUUAAAAGGCUUAAAUGUUUAUGGAGGACGAGAAGACCCUAUAGAGCUUUAUAUAUAGGUUUAGAUUUGUAUUUAGGAGUUUGUGAAAGUUUGAAUUGAUUAUAUUGUGUUGGGGUGACAUAAAGAUAGGAUUAACUCUUUAUUUUUGAUACAUUGAUGUAUGGAUUAUUGAUCCAUUUAUAGUGAUCAUAAGAUUAAGUUACCUUAGGGAUAACAGCGUAAUUUUUCUUGAGAGUUCAUAUCAACAGAGAAGAUUGCGACCUCGAUGUUGGAUUAAGGAAUAUAAUUAGAUGCAGCAGUUUAAUUAAUAGGUCUGUUCGACCUUUAAAUCCUUACAUGAUCUGAGUUCAGACCGGUGUAAGCCAGGUCGGUUUCUAUCCUUAUURGAUUUUUAUACUUUAGUACGAAAGGACCAAGUAUUUUAAAUAUUUUAUGAUAUUUGAUUAUUAGUA